CUGUGCAAAGGUAGCAUAAUCAUUAGUUUUUUAAUUGAAAGCUGGAAUGAAUGGUUUAAUAAGAGAAAUUCUGUCUCAAUUUUAAUUUUUGAAUUUUAUUUUUAAGUUAAAAGGCUUAAAUUUUUUAAAAAGACGAGAAGACCCUAUAGAGUUUUAUAAAUGUAAUUUAAUUUUUAUUAAGAUUUAAAUUUAAAAUUAUAUUUUAUUAUUUUGUUGGGGUGAUAUAAAAAUUUAGAAAACUUUUUAUUUAUUAAAUCAUUAAUUUAUGUAUGAUUGAUCUUAAUUUAUGGAUUGAAAGAUUAAUUACCUUAGGGAUAACAGCGUAAUUUUUCUUGAGAGUUCUUAUCGAAAGUAAAGAUUGCGACCUCGAUGUUGGAUUAAAAUAAAAUUUUGGCGUAGAAGUUAAAAAUUUAGGUCUGUUCGACCUUUAAAAUU
Molecule: ribosomal RNA, 435 nt
Filed under: Nacerdes osawai
Lineage: Eukaryota; Metazoa; Arthropoda; Insecta; Coleoptera; Oedemeridae
Description: partial 16S ribosomal RNA
Rfam family: Bacterial large subunit ribosomal RNA (bases 314-435)
Source: RNAcentral